RNAcentral lists this long non-coding RNA (726 nucleotides) under Rattus norvegicus (Norway rat). RNAcentral describes it as "long non-coding RNA NONRATT025186". Lineage: Eukaryota; Metazoa; Chordata; Mammalia; Rodentia; Muridae. The record is from RNAcentral.
UCUUAGGAAAGAAUUAAGGUCAAAAUGCAAGAAGAGAUUCAAAGGCUCACACAAGCACCACCAAACAGGCAGCAGCGUGGUGGCGGUAUGCGUGCGUAGUGUGAAGGCCCAUGCUUGAAGUUAGGCGGUGGCUUCACUCAGUUGCUCUCCACCUCAUUUGGCUACAGGAAACCAAACACCUGCGCUGGGAAGAAACUACCUGCGGGCCACAGUGCAGAGCAGCAUGACCAGGGAAAGGGGAGAGGCCGGGCAACUCCCGGCCAGCUGAAAGCCCACUUUUGUUUGACCUACAUCCCAAUCACCCUCUAUCUCUCCUCGGGAGGGAGAGGCUGCACCGUGGAAGGUGUGGUUUUCCCCAAGGGACCGAAGUAGUCCUAUGGCUACAGGAAGCCAGCCCUGGCCUCCAGGGCCCUGAGCUUGGGGGAGGAAGAACCGCCUCCUCCACCCGAGUCCGGUUAGUUGGCUCUGGAAUGCAAUGCUUUUUAAAGUGUCCGAGUGAUAGGCACUUUCUAAGUAUGUACAGCGAUGGUCCGAUAAGAAACCAGGCGUGAGGCUUUGCGGGUCAACGCCUACCAGCUCUACCGGUACAGCUAGCUGCUGCCCGGGCUGGGGCUGGGGACGCCCCCCUUUACAAACUUCCUUAUAGAAUCUGCUUCCUGCUGGGGCCCCUGUUUUUCAAUUUCUACUUCUGGAAUCAGAAAAAGAAAAAUAAAAAUCCCAACCAUC